CCCCUGGUGGUCUAGUGGUUAGGAUGUGGCACUCUCAGCGCCACGGCCUGGGUUCGGUUCCUGGUCAGGGAA
RNAcentral lists this transfer RNA (72 nucleotides) under Manacus vitellinus (golden-collared manakin). It matches the Rfam family "tRNA". Rfam says of the family: Transfer RNA (tRNA) molecules are approximately 80 nucleotides in length. Lineage: Eukaryota; Metazoa; Chordata; Aves; Passeriformes; Pipridae. The record is from Rfam by way of RNAcentral.